GACGAACGCUGGCGGCGUGCUUAACACAUGCAAGUCGAACGGAAAGGCCCUGCUUUUGUGGGGUGCUCGAGUGGCGAACGGGUGAGUAACACGUGAGUAACCUGCCCUUGACUUUGGGAUAACUUCAGGAAACUGGGGCUAAUACCGGAUAGGAGCUCCUGCUGCAUGGUGGGGGUUGGAAAGUUUCGGCGGUUGGGGAUGGACUCGCGGCUUAUCAGCUUGUUGGUGGGGUAGUGGCUUACCAAGGCUUUGACGGGUAGCCGGCCUGAGAGGGUGACCGGCCACAUUGGGACUGAGAUACGGCCCAGCCUCCUACGGGAGGCAGCAGUGGGGAAUAUUGCACAAUGGGCGGCAGCCUGAUGCAGAAACGCCGCGUGCGGGAUGACGGCCUUCGGGUUGUAAACCGCUUUCGCCUGUGACGAAGCGUGAGUGACGGUAAUGGGUAAAGAAGCCCCGGCUAACUACGUG
This 468-nucleotide ribosomal RNA is filed under the name uncultured bacterium. RNAcentral describes it as "partial 16S ribosomal RNA". It matches the Rfam family "Bacterial small subunit ribosomal RNA", at positions 28 to 507 of the family's 1533-position model. The record is from RNAcentral.